Molecule: ribosomal RNA, 497 nt
Filed under: uncultured bacterium
Lineage: Bacteria
Description: partial 16S ribosomal RNA
Rfam family: Bacterial small subunit ribosomal RNA
Source: RNAcentral
GAUGAACGCUGGCGGCGCGCCUAAUACAUGCAAGUCGAGCGAACGGACGAUUAUCUUGCUUUUCUGAUGUUAGCGGCGGACGAGUGAUUAACACGUGUAUAACCUACCUAUUAGACUUGUAUAACUUCGGGAAACCGGAGCUAAUACCGGAUAAUAUUUUGAACCUCAUGGUUCAAAAGUUAAUGACGGUCUUGCUGUCUCUUCUAGCUUGUUCCUCGGUGGAUUAGCUAGUUGGUAAGGUAACGGCUUACCAAGGCAACGAUGCAUAGCCGAACUGAGAGGGUGAACGGCGACACAGGAAGUGAGACACGGUACAGAGACCGACGGGAGGCAGCAGUAGGGAAUGUUCCGCAAUGGGCGAAAGCAUGACGGAGCAAAGCCGCGUGAGUGAAGAAGGUCUUCGGAUCGGAAAACUCUGUUAUUAGGGAAGAAAAUAUGUGUAAGUAACUGAGCACAUAGUGACGGUACCUAAAAAGAAAGCAACGGCUAACUACGUG